UUAAUUAAUUAUUAUCAGCGCGGCCUAUCAGCUUGUUGGUGAGGUAACGGCUCACCAAGGCAUCGGCGGGUAGCUGGUCUGAGAGGAUGAUCAGCCACACUGGGACUGAGACACGGCCCAGACUCCUACGGGAGGCAGCAGUGGGGAAUCUUGCACAAUGGGCGAAAGCCUGAUGCAGCAACGCCGCGUGCGGGAUGAAGGCCUUAGGGUUGUAAACCGCUUUCAGAAGGGAAGAAACUGACGGUACCUUCAGAAGAAGGUGCGGCCAACUACGUGCCAGCAGCCGCGGUGACACGUAGGCACCAAGCGUUGUCCGGAUUUAUUGGGCGUAAAGAGCUCGUAGGCGGUUCAGUAAGUCGGGUGUGAAAACUCUGGGCUCAACCCAGAGACGCCACCCGAUACUGCUGUGACUAGAGUACGGUAGGGGAGCGGGGAAUUCCUGGUGUAGCGGUGAAAUGCGCAGAUAUCAGGAGGAACACCGGUGGCGAAGGCGCCGCUCUGGGCCGAAACUGACGCUGAGGAGCGAAAGCGUGGGUAGCAAACAGGAUUAGAUACCCUGGUAGUCCUCGCCGUAAACGUUGGGCACUAGGUGUGGGUCUCAACCAACGAGAUCCGCGCCGUCGCUAACGCAUUAAGUGCCCCGCCUGGGGAGUACG
This 656-nucleotide ribosomal RNA is filed under the name uncultured actinomycete. Its description in RNAcentral is "bacterial SSU rRNA". It matches the Rfam family "Bacterial small subunit ribosomal RNA", at positions 214 to 884 of the family's 1533-position model. Lineage: Bacteria; Bacillati; Actinomycetota; Actinomycetes; Actinomycetales. The record is from RNAcentral.